This 65-nucleotide transfer RNA is filed under the name Tenebrionoidea sp. 6 KM-2017. RNAcentral describes it as "tRNA-Ala". The record is from RNAcentral. Lineage: Eukaryota; Metazoa; Arthropoda; Insecta; Coleoptera.
AGGGUUGUAGUUAAAAAUAACAUUUAAUUUGCAUUUAAAAAGUAUUAACUUUGUUAAUCUUCCUU